UAUAAAGAAUUUAUUUUAUUAAUUCUUUUAUUAUAA
RNAcentral lists this transfer RNA (36 nucleotides) under Vespula vulgaris. RNAcentral's name for it is "partial tRNA-Leu". Lineage: Eukaryota; Metazoa; Arthropoda; Insecta; Hymenoptera; Vespidae. The record is from RNAcentral.